RNAcentral lists this long non-coding RNA (1108 nucleotides) under Glycine max (soybean). RNAcentral describes it as "long non-coding RNA (GMAX_LNC003939)". The record is from RNAcentral. Lineage: Eukaryota; Viridiplantae; Streptophyta; Magnoliopsida; Fabales; Fabaceae.
GAUUUAAGGAAGAUGGGUAAGGAAAAGGUUCACAUCAGUAUUGUGGUCAUUGGCCAUGUCGACUCUGGGAAAUCCACUACCACUGGUCACCUGAUUUACAAGCUUGGAGGCAUUGACAAGCGUGUUAUUGAGAGGUUUGAGAAGGAAGCUGCUGAGAUGAACAAGAGGUCUUUCAAGUAUGCCUGGGUGCUGGACAAACUUAAGGCUGAGCGUGAAAGAGGAAUCACCAUUGAUAUUGCUUUGUGGAAGUUUGAAACAACAAAGUAUUAUUGCACAGUUAUUGAUGCGCCUGGACAUAGGGAUUUCAUUAAGAAUAUGAUUACUGGGACAUCCCAAGCUGACUGUGCUGUUCUUAUCAUUGAUUCGACCACUGGUGGUUUUGAAGCUGGUAUUUCCAAGGAUGGACAGACUCGUGAACAUGCUCUGCUUUCAUUCACCCUUGGUGUGAAACAGAUGAUUUGCUGCUGUAACAAAGUAAAUUAUGUCUCGACUUUUAAGGCCCCUUUCAUUUUAUUAGAUUAUUUUAUUUUAAUUAAUGUUCUUGUCCCAUUUUGCAACAGAUGGAUGCUACUACACCCAAGUAUUCCAAGGCCAGGUAUGAUGAAAUUGUGAAGGAAGUCUCUUCCUACUUGAAGAAAGUAGGAUACAACCCUGACAAGAUUCCUUUUGUUCCUAUCUCUGGUUUUGAGGGAGACAACAUGAUUGAGAGGUCCACAAACCUUGACUGGUACAAGGGUCCAACUCUGCUUGAUGCACUUGACCAGAUUAGUGAGCCCAAGAGGCCCUCUGACAAGCCCCUCAGGCUUCCCCUUCAGGAUGUGUACAAGAUUGGAGGUAUUGGAACUGUGCCAGUGGGACGUGUUGAGACCGGUGUCUUGAAGCCUGGAAUGGUGGUGACUUUUGCACCAACUGGACUGACAACUGAAGUCAAGUCUGUGGAGAUGCACCAUGAAUCUCUUACAGAGGCACAUCCUGGUGACAAUGUGGGAUUCAAUGUUAAGAAUGUUGCUGUUAAGGAUUUGAAGCGUGGUUAUGUUGCCUCAAACUCAAAGGAUGACCCUGCAAAGGAGGCUGCUAACUUCACAGCCCAAGUCAUCAUCAUGAACCA